RNAcentral lists this transfer RNA (70 nucleotides) under Mycobacteroides abscessus. RNAcentral describes it as "tRNA-Ser". Lineage: Bacteria; Bacillati; Actinomycetota; Actinomycetes; Mycobacteriales; Mycobacteriaceae. The record is from RNAcentral.
GGACCUGUGUAAACUAUGUGGGAGCCGCCUCACACGCGAGGGGUCGCUGGUUCGAACCCAGCCGGGACCA